Molecule: ribosomal RNA, 421 nt
Filed under: uncultured bacterium
Lineage: Bacteria
Description: bacterial SSU rRNA
Rfam family: Bacterial small subunit ribosomal RNA
Source: RNAcentral
UAAGGAAUAUUGGUCAAUGGACGCAAGUCUGAACCAGCCAUGCCGCGUGAAGGAUGAAGGUCCUCUGGAUUGUAAACUUCUUUUAUCUGGGACGAAAACGGGAUUUUUAUCUCAAUUGACGGUACCAGAGGAAUAAGCACCGGCUAACUCCGUGCCAGCAGCCGCGGUAAUACGGAGGGUGCGAGCGUUAUCCGGAUUUACUGGGUUUAAAGGGUGCGUAGGCGGAUGAAUAAGUCAGUGGUGAAAUCUCCGAGCUUAACUCGGAAACUGCCGUUGAUACUAUUUGUCUUGAAUAUUGUGGAGGUAAGCGGAAUAUGUCAUGUAGCGGUGAAAUGCUUAGAUAUGACAUAGAACACCAAUUGCGAAGGCAGCUUGCUACACAAUCAUUGACGCUGAGGCACGAAAGCGUGGGGACCAAACA